ACGGGAGGCAGCAGUGAGGAAUAUUGGUCAAUGGAGGCAACUCUGAACCAGCCAUCUCGCGUGAAGGGAUACGGCCCUACGGGUCUUAAACUUCUUUUAUAGGGGGAUAAAGUGAGCCACGUGUGGCUUUUUGUAGGUACCCUAUGAAUAAGCAUCGGCUAACUCCGUGCCAGCAGCCGCGGUAAUACGGAGGAUCCGAGUGUUAUCCGGAUUUAUUGGGUUUAAAGGGUGCGUAGGCGGGACGUCAAGUCAGUGGUGAAAUGGUGCGGCUCAACCGUAGCAUUGCCGUUGAAACUGGCGUUCUUGAGUGCGAAUGAGGUGGGCGGAAUGUGUCAUGUAGCGGUGAAAUGCAUAGAUAUGACACAGAACACCGAUUGCGAAGGCGGCUCACUGGGACGCAACUGACGCUGAGGCACGAAAGUGCGGGGAUCGAACAGGAUUAGAUACCCUGGUA
RNAcentral lists this ribosomal RNA (454 nucleotides) under uncultured Porphyromonadaceae bacterium. Its description in RNAcentral is "partial 16S ribosomal RNA". It matches the Rfam family "Bacterial small subunit ribosomal RNA", at positions 341 to 792 of the family's 1533-position model. Lineage: Bacteria; Pseudomonadati; Bacteroidota; Bacteroidia; Bacteroidales; Porphyromonadaceae. The record is from RNAcentral.